Molecule: ribosomal RNA, 393 nt
Filed under: uncultured bacterium
Lineage: Bacteria
Description: partial 16S ribosomal RNA
Rfam family: Bacterial small subunit ribosomal RNA
Source: RNAcentral
AUACGGAGGACGCGAGCGUUAUCCGGAUUCAUUGGGUUUAAAGGGUGCGCAGGCGGCCGUGCAAGUCAGCGGUGAAAGCCCGGGGCUCAACCCCGGAAGUGCCGUUGAUACUGCAUGGCUGGAAUGCGGUCGAGGCGGGCGGGACGUGGCGGGUAGCGGGGAAAAGCGUAGAUAUGCCACAGAACGCCGAUAGCGGGGGCAGCUCGCCAGGCCGGCAUGGACGCUCGGGCACGAAAGCGUGGGGAUCGAACAGGAUUAGAUACCCUGGUAGUCCACGCCGUAAACGAUGGGCGCUCGUCGUCGGCGGCAGACAGUCGGCGGCCAAGCGAAAGCGAUAAGCGCCCCACCUGGGGAGUACGGUCGCAAGGCUGAAACUCAAAUGAAUUGACGGGG